This 450-nucleotide ribosomal RNA is filed under the name uncultured bacterium. RNAcentral's name for it is "partial 16S ribosomal RNA". It matches the Rfam family "Bacterial small subunit ribosomal RNA", at positions 354 to 796 of the family's 1533-position model. The record is from RNAcentral.
GUGGGGAAUAUUGGACAAUGGGCGCAAGCCUGAUCCAGCAAUGCCGCGUGCAGGAAGAAGGCCUUCGGGUUGUAAACUGCUUUUGUACGGAACGAAACGGUCCGGGUUAAUACCCUGGGCUAAUGACGGUACCGUAAGAAUAAGCACCGGCUAACUACGUGCCAGCAGCCGCGGUAAUACGUAGGGUGCAAGCGUUAAUCGGAAUUACUGGGCGUAAAGCGUGCGCAGGCGGUUUUGUAAGACAGGCGUGAAAUCCCCGGGCUCAACCUGGGAAUUGCGCUUGGGACUGCAAGGCUGGAGUGCGGCAGAGGGGGAUGGAAUUCCGCGUGUAGCAGUGAAAUGCGUAGAUAUGCGGAGGAACACCGAUGGCGAAGGCAAUCCCCUGGGCCUGCACUGACGCUCAUGCACGAAAGCGUGGGGAGCAAACAGGAUUAGAAACCCGAGUAGUCC